AAGGUUCGACUCGAGCGUAGCGAGAGAACGUUGCCGCAGGCAACGGCCCGAAGGGCGAGGCGCUUUAGCGCCGAGUUAUCCUUCCCCCACCAUUC
Molecule: small RNA, 95 nt
Filed under: Klebsiella quasipneumoniae
Lineage: Bacteria; Pseudomonadati; Pseudomonadota; Gammaproteobacteria; Enterobacterales; Enterobacteriaceae
Description: partial RtT sRNA
Rfam family: RtT RNA
About the family: This family represents a bacterial cis-regulatory element known as RtT RNA. The exact function of RtT is unknown although it is thought that it may be involved in changing the cellular response in relation to amino acid starvation.
Source: RNAcentral